GGUCACGAGCGCCAGCGUCAAACCCCGGUUUGCUGGCCGGCAACCCUCCCACCGCGGCGGGGUGCUCCGGGUGACGACCUGGCCCGGCGCCGAGCGCGUCCGGGCAAGCGCGGAGG
Regulatory RNA element from Dermacoccus nishinomiyaensis, 116 nucleotides. It matches the Rfam family "SAM (S-adenosyl methionine) riboswitch aptamer". From Rfam's summary of the family: SAM-IV is a mRNA element that regulates gene expression via direct sensing of S-adenosylmethionine (SAM or AdoMet). Lineage: Bacteria; Bacillati; Actinomycetota; Actinomycetes; Micrococcales; Dermacoccaceae. The record is from Rfam.